RNAcentral lists this transfer RNA (62 nucleotides) under Echeneibothrium multiloculatum. RNAcentral describes it as "tRNA-Gln". Lineage: Eukaryota; Metazoa; Platyhelminthes; Cestoda; Rhinebothriidea; Echeneibothriidae. The record is from RNAcentral.
UUUAAUAAGGUGUUGCGGCAUGUUACAUUUUGGUUGUAAAGGUGGUUAGUUACCUAUUAUUU